CCUACUUCCGGCUUAGAGACAGCAGAAAGCCAAAAGAGAGCUUGAAGAGUGUCCCCGGAGAGGAAGAGGAGGAAAACGAAGAACAGAAAGAGAGAGGCACGGCCGGGAGGGUAGCGCGGCGUCGGCUACUUACUGUAGGAAUAGCUGCUCACUUCUCGAGGCGAACGGGGGAAUGGGCCGACUUGGACUGGCCUCUGGCCUUGAACCCCACCUCCAUCUUCCUGGCUUUGGUGGCCCUUUUGUGUUUACCUUCUCUAGAGGAUUUCAGAGACAAGCCCAGGCCUUUGGCCAGUGUCUUCGUGUUCUUGCCCAGCAGGCUGUCAUAAGGACUCAAGAACCUGCCGCAACUCCCACUAGUUUUCGAUUUCCCCCCAGAACUGUCCGAAAACUUGAAGGGUGACUUCAACUUGUCCUGCUUUGUGAGGGAGAGGGCCUUGUCUAGCUUGCUUGCCAACUGCUCCUGGUCACUGGCCAUCUUCUUCUUCUUAAUCUUUAGCUGGGGAGGGAAGUUGGGUCAUACAUUAGGACAUUCGGCAAAACAGGAUAGUGGGUUUCAGUGCACACCUCUGACAACCCUGGGCUCUAAUCCUUCCUCAUACCUCAGUCCUUACACUUUGUAGAACGAGGAUAUUUGUGUCUGGACAUUACCUGGCUGUUCUGAAGAUGAACUGAGAUAAGGCACAGAAAGCAUUUAUCAGCUUGCAAUUCCAGCACUGGGGAGGCUGAGGCAGGAGUACUACCAAGAGUUCAAGGCUAGCCGGGACUAUACAGCAAGACAGUGUCUCAAAAAACAAAACAAAACAAAAAAACCAGAAAGCAUUUAUCAAAAUGCCUGACCCAAAGUAACCACUUAUUAAAUAGGUGUUACUAUGGUUACAAUUAUCACUGGCCCUGGUAUUUCCACUCUGGCUUUCCAUGGCACUUAUCUUGUACCUCCUCAGAAGCACUUUAAGCAACCAGAACCACUGAUGGCUCAGAGAAUGUAGCUGAGUUGAGAGAGGAAAAAGGUAGCAUUUCAUAAAGAGGAAAGAAGUUGGGACACUGUCAUGUAAACAACAACAAAAGCAUCCCUGAC
Molecule: long non-coding RNA, 1075 nt
Filed under: Heterocephalus glaber (naked mole-rat)
Lineage: Eukaryota; Metazoa; Chordata; Mammalia; Rodentia; Bathyergidae
Description: lncRNA (ENSHGLG00100035807.1)
Source: RNAcentral